This 427-nucleotide ribosomal RNA is filed under the name uncultured bacterium. RNAcentral's name for it is "partial 16S ribosomal RNA". It matches the Rfam family "Bacterial small subunit ribosomal RNA", at positions 355 to 774 of the family's 1533-position model. The record is from RNAcentral.
UGGGGAAUAUUGCACAAUGGGCGCACGCCUGAUGCAGCCAUGCCGCGUGUAUGAAGAAGGCCUUCGGGUUGUAAAGUACUUUCAGCGGGGAGGAAGGUGUUGAGGUUAAUAACCUCAGCAAUUGACGUUACCCGCAGAAGAAGCACCGGCUAACUCCGUGCCAGCAGCCGCGGUAAUACGGAGGGUGCAAGCGUUAAUCGGAAUUACUGGGCGUAAAGCGCACGCAGGCGGUCUGUCAAGUCGGAUGUGAAAUCCCCGGGCUCAACCUGGGAACUGCAUUCGAAACUGGCAGGCUAGAGUCUUGUAGAGGGGGGUAGAAUUCCAGGUGUAGCGGCGAAAUGCGUAAAGAUCUGGAGGAAUACCGGUGGCGAAGGCGGCCCCCUGGACAAAGACUGACGCUCAGGUGCGAAAGCGUGGGGAGCAAACA